AACGCUGGCGGCGUGCCUAAUACAUGCAAGUCGAGCGGACCGAACAGGAGCUUGCCCUUGUUUGGUUAGCGGCGGACGGGUGAGUAACACGUGGGUAACCUACCCGUAAGACCGGGAUAACUCCGGGAAACCGGAGCUAAUACCGGAUAACACCAAAGACCGCAUGGUCUUUGGUUGAAAGGCGGCUUCGGCUGUCACUUACGGAUGGGCCCGCGGCGCAUUAGCUAGUUGGUGAGGUAACGGCUCACCAAGGCGACGAUGCGUAGCCGGCCUGAGAGGGUGACCGGCCACACUGGGACUGAGACACGGCCCAGACUCCUACGGGAGGCAGCAGUAGGGAAUCUUCCGCAAUGGACGAAAGUCUGACGGAGCGACGCCGCGUGAGCGAAGAAGGUCUUCGGAUCGUAAAGCUCUGUUGUUAGGGAAGAAGAAGUACCGUUCGAAUAGGGCGGUACGGUGACGGUACCUAACGAGAAAGCCCCGGCUAACUACGUGCCAGCAGCCGCGGUAAUACGUAGGGGGCGAGCGUUGUCCGGAAUUAUUGGGCGUAAAGCGCGCGCAGGCGGUCCCUUAAGUCUGAUGUGAAAGCCCACGGCUCAA
This 600-nucleotide ribosomal RNA is filed under the name uncultured bacterium. RNAcentral describes it as "bacterial SSU rRNA". It matches the Rfam family "Bacterial small subunit ribosomal RNA", at positions 32 to 612 of the family's 1533-position model. The record is from RNAcentral.